GUUACUAAUCAUGACUUGCUCCUCUUUAAUUUUUACUUUUAAUAAUAUUCAUAACUCUCAUAAUUUUUGUGUCCAUAACCUCCAAAUUAAAUUUGUAAGUUUAUGAUGUCUUGUGGUAUCCAUUUAUUUUGCCUAUAAAUUCAUAUUAGUUUAAUGAAGAUUCACAUUCACAUUCACAUUCACAAUUAUCCUUUCUCUUUUCAUCAUAUAGGUUUGGUUUGUAACAAAAAAAAGUAUGUAAAGGUAAGAAAUAUUUCAUUGCAAAUUUUUAUUUUUUAUUUUCUCUAUUUCUCUCUAUAUGUUUGUGAAUGAAACUAAAUGUAACCAAAAAAAGUACAUGAAGUUAAUAAAUAUAUCAUUCUCAAGUCCUUAUUUUUUUCAUUUCUUUUAUUUUGUUUAUAUGAAUUUAUAUUUAUUUUCAUGAAGAUUCACAUACAAAGUUAUAAUUUCUCUUCUUCAUAAUACUUUUUUGUAAAUUAACUAACAUGUAACCAAAAAAAAGUAUAUGAAGGUAAAAUAUAUUUCAUUCUAAAGUCUUUCUUUUUAUUUUUAUGUACUUGGACAUGCUUUCUUAAUUAUUAUUUUUUUAUGUUUGUAUUAUAAUUUAUUAAGUAAGUAUGAUUAAAAAAAUCUUUGUAAUUCUUAACAAUGUGUUGUCCGUAUGUAAUUGCUCUUUCUAAUAGUUAGUUUUCUAGAUUUAGUAUAGUUUGAUUAUAAUAUUUGUUAGAUUUCAAGAAAUAAUUAUUAUUUAGUAUUGUUAGUACUAUUGAAAAGAUAAUAUACAAAUAUAUUAAAUAUAAUUUAUAUUUCGUUCUUUCUUUUGACAUAAUUAUUUUUAAUUGGUAUAUGAUUUUUUUAAUUCAGUUGGUUGCAUAUAAUAAAGAGUUUGAUAUAUGGAUCAAAACAUGAUGACGGAUCUCUUUGCAAGAAGAUGGUACAAGGAAAAAAAAUGAAGCAUAAUUACAGAUUAUUUUUUCACUUUGAUUAAAUUUUGAUUUAUAUAAAUAAUUUAGCUAAAUAUAUUAUAUUGUCAAUGCUAAUUAUUUGAUCCUUUAGUAUUUCUACUUUCUUUUUGUUAUGAAAAAAAUUCGUAUAAUUAUUUCAUUUUAACAACAACAACAAAAUUUAUGAUGAUUAGUUUCAUUUUUAUUAUAAUUAUAAAAAGUAAUUGAAAAAUAAAAUAUUAUUUUCAUGAUGUUAUUUUUUGUGUAUGUAACAAUCUGUCACCGUUCUUUUUGCUUCGAAAUGUAUUUAUAAUUUUUAUGUAGUCACCAAUUAUUAUAUUUUCUCUGUUCAUUUUUUGUAUUUUCACCCCUUAUUUUAUUUAUUUAUUUUACAAAUAAAAUCAAUACAUAAUU
Molecule: long non-coding RNA, 1358 nt
Filed under: Solanum lycopersicum (tomato)
Lineage: Eukaryota; Viridiplantae; Streptophyta; Magnoliopsida; Solanales; Solanaceae
Description: long non-coding RNA (SLYC_LNC000444)
Source: RNAcentral